GACGAACGCUGGCGGCGUGCUUAACACAUGCAAGUCGAACGGAAAGGUCCUGCGCUUGUGGGGUGCUCGAGUGGCGAACGGGUGAGUAACACGUGAGUAACCUGCCCUUGACUUUGGGAUAACUUCAGGAAACUGGGGCUAAUACCGGAUAGGAGCUCCUGCUGCAUGGUGGGGGUUGGAAAGUUUCGGCGGUUGGGGAUGGACUCGCGGCUUAUCAGCUUGUUGGUGGGGUAGUGGCUUACCAAGGCUUUGACGGGUAGCCGGCCUGGGAGGGUGAACGGCCACAUUGGGACUGAGAUACGGCCCAGACUCCUACGGGAGGCAGCAGUGGGGAAUAUUGCACAAUGGGCGGAAGCCUGAUGCAGCAACGCCGCGUGCGGGAUGACGGCCUUCGGGUUGUAAACCGCUUUCGCCUGUGACGAAGCGUGAGUGACGGUAAUGGGUAAAGAAGCACCGGCUAACUACGUG
This 468-nucleotide ribosomal RNA is filed under the name uncultured bacterium. Its description in RNAcentral is "partial 16S ribosomal RNA". It matches the Rfam family "Bacterial small subunit ribosomal RNA", at positions 28 to 507 of the family's 1533-position model. The record is from RNAcentral.